RNAcentral lists this small nucleolar RNA (80 nucleotides) under Brassica napus (rape). Its description in RNAcentral is "snoRNA Plant_U3". The record is from RNAcentral. Lineage: Eukaryota; Viridiplantae; Streptophyta; Magnoliopsida; Brassicales; Brassicaceae.
ACGACCUUACUUGAAUAGGAUCUGUUCUAUAGGCUCGUACCUCUGAGUGUUAACAAAAAAAAAAAAAAUUUACAACGUUA